GCCCCACGCUGGCGGCGUCUUACACCUGCAAGUCUGAACGAGGUCCAUCCGAUCUUCGGAUUGGUGAAGACCUAGUGGCGAACGGGUGCGUAACACGUGAGAAACCUGCCCCGGACUCUGGGAUAACAGUUGGAAACGACUGCUAAUACCGGAUGCCGUCGGACCGUCGCAUGGCGGACCGACGAAAGGGUUACCGGAUCGGGAGGGUCUCGCGGCCUAUCAGCUUGUUGGUGAGGUAACGGCUCACCAAGGCAUCGACGGGUAGCUGGUCUGAGAGGAUGAUCAGCCACACUGGGACUGAGACACGGCCCAGACUCCUACGGGAGGCAGCAGUGGGGAAUAUUGCACAAUGGGCGAAAGCCUGAUGCAGCAACGCCGCGUGCGGGAUGAAGGCCCUAGGGUUGUAAACCGCUUUCAGCAGGGAAGAAAAUGAACGGUACCUGUAGAAGAAGGUGCGGCCAACUACGUGCCAGCAGCCGCGGUGACACGUAGGCACCAAGCGUUGUCCGGAUUUA
This 515-nucleotide ribosomal RNA is filed under the name uncultured Actinomycetes bacterium. RNAcentral's name for it is "bacterial SSU rRNA". It matches the Rfam family "Bacterial small subunit ribosomal RNA", at positions 28 to 553 of the family's 1533-position model. Lineage: Bacteria; Bacillati; Actinomycetota; Actinomycetes. The record is from RNAcentral.